AUGAGAGACACUCAAAUGUUUCAGUGCUUAAGAAAACACAUAAUUACCAACUGGAAAAGGUGUAAGAAUAUACCUGUAGUAUGGCUCUCACCCUCACUGGAAUUCUUAUGCUUGAUCAACAUGGGUAAGCUGAAGACAUUAUGUGAUAAUCUUUGCAUAGAAGGUGGAGGGCACAGUACCCCUCUACAUUUUUUCCCAAAGUCGAAGGAGAUGGUCUUGGUAGAGCUAUCUAGUCUAGAGGGAUGGGCAGAAAACAGUGCGGGUGUGGCCACUGAUAGCUCGGUAAUAUUCCCGAUGCUUGAGAAGCUACAAAUCAGCUGCUGCCCUAAGGUUGCAAGUUUUCCACUAAGCCCCGUUCUCAAAGACCUGAAGUUAGAAGGAUAUUACUUGGGACUGGAGUGUGUAUGGGAUAUUCCAAGGUUGCCUACAUCCCUUGAAAUUUUGUGGAUUCAAUGCUUCGGAGGUUUGGUGGUGCUGCCUUCGAACCUUGGAGAUCUGGCAAAGCUGAGGGAGCUAAUGGUGAAUAGAUGCAGGAGCCUGAAAGGGUUGCCUGAUGGGAUGGAUGGCCUCACUUCUCUUCGGGACUUGUGGAUCCGUUGUUGUCCAGCGGUAGAGGAAUUCCCGAAUGGUCUCCUUCAGCGGUUGCCAGCCCUUGACCAGCUAACCAUAGAGGGCUGCCCCGAGUUGGAAAGACGAUGUGGAGAAGGUGGUGAGUAUUUCCACCACUUGGUCCCUAUCCCAGUUAAACGCAUUGGAGCAGAGUCAAAAUAUAGAACUGGUGCUCCAGAAGAAGAAGCAGAAGCAGAAUCCACAUUUAUAGCACGAGAAGCAGAAGCAGAAUCCACAAUUAUAGCACAAGAAGCAGGAACCAGAGGGAAGAAGUUUCUAAGAAGGCUCCUCCCCUCCUGUGCUCACUCGAAGUCUGGUGAUAACUGA
This 936-nucleotide ribosomal RNA is filed under the name Triticum aestivum (bread wheat). RNAcentral describes it as "partial small subunit ribosomal RNA". The record is from RNAcentral. Lineage: Eukaryota; Viridiplantae; Streptophyta; Magnoliopsida; Poales; Poaceae.